RNAcentral lists this unclassified non-coding RNA (220 nucleotides) under uncultured fungus. Its description in RNAcentral is "partial contains 18S rRNA, ITS1 and 5.8S rRNA". Lineage: Eukaryota; Fungi. The record is from RNAcentral.
AGGUGAACCUGCGGAGGGAUCAUUACACAAAUAUGAAGGCGGGCUGGAACCUCUCGGGGUUACAGCCUUGCUGAAUUAUUCACCCUUGUCUUUUGCGUACUUCUUGUUUCCUUGGUGGGUUCGCCCACCACUAGGACAAACAUAAACCUUUUGUAAUUGCAAUCAGCGUCAGUAACAAAUUAAUAAUUACAACUUUCAACAACGGAUCUCUUGGUUCUGG